CCCCCAGCACGCGAAACCCCUUCCUCUCUCCCUCUCCCUCCCCAUCUCCCAUGGAAGUUUGCACGGACGAAUUUGUCGGACUAUUACUCGUAUGCCACGAAUUUGUCAUCAGCGAGAAUCUCUCGUGUCGGAGGAUCGAAAUACCCGCCGGAGGAGAGGGCAUCAACGAGUGCGGACCACUCUGGCCACGGAUGGGCAGCGAGGGGCAGAGGAGAGGUAGGGGAAAAGUCGAGGGAGUCUCUGUUGUUGUUGUCUUGAUUGGUGGUGGUAGUUUGGGUGUGAAUGCUAGCUUUGGGUUGUACGGGGCGGAUUAAGCAUAGUUGAGGGCGUGGAAAAGGCGAGGGAGUAGAGAGAGAGGAGAGAGGGUGAGGUCGGGAGGCGGCGGCAGGGCAGAGGACGGGAAUGGGGAGGGAGUGGUGAGGAGCAUUGUGAAUGUUGAGGCACCGCCCAUCAGGGUGAUGGAGCAGGGAGUGGAGGAUGGGGUUUACAGAGUAAUUGGGAAUUGUGGAUUGUAAACCUAGACCACCACUUCAAACUUCCAUCGACCGCACACCACAAUAUUCAUGUUUAUCUACUAGGUCUCUGUGAAGAAAAGAUGGAGAAAUCUCUCCUCGGUGGAGAAAGCAAAGGCAGAGGCAGAGGCAGAGGCGGCGGUUGUAGAAGCAGUAACAGGUGCAGAGAUGAGUUGGCGCACUUCCUUUGAAGAUCACCUUAUCAGAAGGCAGCUGCACAUGUUGAUUUGGGGCUGACACAAGGGGACCCGGGUGCCCACGGCCAUGCACAAGUCUAAAUAUUCUCACAUAUUAUCACCAUUUAUCUACUCCUAUUAGGGUUUUGUUUUGUUUUGUUUUGUUUUGUUUUGAGUUAAACAUUGGGCUUACUAUGGAGUUUAAGAAAUCUUGAAGGAAUCUGGUUAGGGGAGGAAAACCUAUUUAUAGAUUUUGAGUAGCUGCUGCCUCACUUUGGUAUGAAUGUUAUUUGGUUGUUUUGCCUCUGUGCUUCUUGAAUUUUGUGUUGAUUAAUCAGUUCGUGUUAAUAUAUUUCUCGAUUUUUCUUCACAGGUUUCUGUCACUGGUUUUUGAUGUUUCCAAAUAUUCUCUACGAACUACAUUUAUUAUGUUAGGCUAUUGGAAAUACUUGAAAGGUGAUUGAAUAAUGUUAGGAUGAUUAUGAUUGAAUAAUUUGGGUAGCAAUUGACAUAUCAAUAAAGAAACCAUGCUUAGGGUGGCUAGAUGUCUUUAUCUGCUCCUUUGUGUUUUUGUUCUUUGAUUAUUUCUUUGUUUUCUGAUACGGUUUCUUCUUCUUCUUUUGGGUCUAGAAUGAUACAUGAUGUUUGUUCGCCAUCCGACCAAAAUAUGGAUACGUUCUCCAUAUUUUCAUUUAUCGCCAACCAAACAACCCGUAAAGAAAAACAAGUACAGGAAGUUUCAAGUUGCUCUGAUUUGUAGAAUCUCUGUG
This is a long non-coding RNA of Rhododendron vialii, 1458 nucleotides long. RefSeq lists it as uncharacterized. The record is from RefSeq and is a predicted model, not a curated record. The transcript has 3 exons. NCBI's taxonomy places the organism in Eukaryota, Viridiplantae, Streptophyta, Magnoliopsida, Ericales, Ericaceae.